CCUACGGGGGGCAGCAGUGGGGAAUAUUGCACAAUGGGGGAAACCCUGAUGCAGCGAUGCCGCGUGGAGGAAGAAGGUUUUCGGAUUGUAAACUCCUUUUAAGGGGGAAGAGCAGAAGACGGUACCCCUUGAAUAAGCCACGGCUAACUACGUGCCAGCAGCCGCGGUAAUACGUAGGUGGCAAGCGUUGUCCGGAUUUACUGGGUGUAAAGGGCGUGCAGCCGGAGAGACAAGUCAGAUGUGAAAUCCACGGGCUCAACCCGUGAACUGCAUUUGAAACUGUUUCCCUUGAGUGUCGGAGAGGUAAUCGGAAUUCCUUGUGUAGCGGUGAAAUGCGUAGAUAUAAGGAAGAACACCAGUGGCGAAGGCGGAUUACUGGACGAUAACUGACGGUGAGGCGCGAAAGCGUGGGGAGCAAACAGGAUUAGAUACCCCAGUAGUC
Molecule: ribosomal RNA, 442 nt
Filed under: uncultured bacterium
Lineage: Bacteria
Description: partial 16S ribosomal RNA
Rfam family: Bacterial small subunit ribosomal RNA
Source: RNAcentral